Molecule: long non-coding RNA, 1699 nt
Filed under: Equus caballus (horse)
Lineage: Eukaryota; Metazoa; Chordata; Mammalia; Perissodactyla; Equidae
Description: lncRNA (ENSECAG00000050122.1)
Source: RNAcentral
UGAUGAAUAGUGGUUCUGUUUCUCUGAUUGAACGCUGACUGAUUCACCUUGAUAUCUAGUGGCCAAGAGAGGCUUGUAAUAUAGAACUGGUGAUAAUAGUUGACAUAUCAGGAUUUAACCUGAGUGUCUUUAUCCUGGGCUAUGGAGUGAUGAAAUCAGACAGACAAGAUGGGAUGGCACUUCUCCAAAAGGGACAGUAUUGACUGCUACCAUCUGUGAAGUUCCCUACUAGCACAUUUUACUUGUUUAAAACAUCAUUUUCAUGUUCUGCUGCUUCUGUCCCACCCCUCAUGCCAUGCAACGCUCGGGUUCACAGGCUCCAGGCCAAGGCAGAGCCGCCAAGCAGUCUUCCUCUCACCGUUUCCUCUACCCCCCAUCUCACCCCCAUUUGUGUGCUUUGCAUUCCUUUCUCUCCCAUGCAGGGGCCAGCAGAAUUUACCCCACUUUCACAUGCUCUGAAAAGAACUGUUUUUGAGUUGUUGUCUUUGAAGAUGCCUCGCUGAUACUGCGGAACAGCACAUCAGCUAAAAAACGGCCCCAACAACCAUUAGAUGCCUUUGCCCAUGAAGGAAGAAGCUGCUACUUCUUUGAGAACUGCCAUCUUGAGUUGAGACUGUGCAGUCCUUGGCCCUGAUGCUCAGCCCUCUUAUCUUUUCUUUGCGGAAGUCCCUGAUGAGGGAAGCCACAGGCAACUUCAUGGUAAAUGGUUUGAUGGAUGUGGCAACAGUCUGAUGCAUUUUUGAUGGAUAUAAAUAGUCUGGUGGACCCAAAUGUUUUCUCAGCAAACUCCUGGGAUGAUUUUUCUACCAAGGUUGGAAAAGAAGUUAUGUCUAGAAUCUCUUAGACAAUCUGAAACUUCCUUGGAUGUUUAAAAGGAAUUAGAAUAAAGGAACACAUUGCUAAAGUGAUGGAGAAGGAGGAGCUAGGAGAGAAAGCAGGGGCAGAGUGUCUUCAACAAAGGGACAGCACAUAUCUAUCUCAGAUCUUUUAGAUGCCUCUGAAUUAAAAGAUUUUCUUUCUGUCCUUUUCAGCCAUUGAAAUUCCAAAUUUGACUCUUUUUGAUUCACUCCAUUCUGUCUUUUUCCUUCAUGCAGGUAUACCAGGUUGCAAAUGGAAAGGCACAGAAAAAGUUCAGGAAGGCUCCUGGGUCCUUAAAUCCUGUAUUCAGGGGGCAGCCCCCUUGCUGUCCCUUGGUCGCCAGGGAAUUCCUUUGUGUAGGUUAGAGGCAGACCUAGGGCCUGAAACAAAGCAGAACAAGGGGCUACCUGUUCCCUUCCCUGUAGGCCCACACCCAGAUCUCAGCUGCCUUUAUCUCACCCCUCCUACGCAUCAACAAGAAGAAGGGAGACAGCACAGAGCUUUUGUCCCAAUGUCUAGAACAGAGAUGAUAGGAGGCCACCCACACAGGUGUCCUAGAUCAGGGCAUCAGCCAUAGAAUUUGCCAAUUCUCCUUGAAAGCUCCUGGGUUUUUUCUUCUACACGUAGUCCGAAUAGUCCUAGUUAAUAGAGCAACGAAUCACAGGAAACCAAACCUGGUUCAAAAGAAUCAUACAUCUCAGGCUAUCUUCUAUCUGAAGCUUUACAGCUGGGCCAAGCAAAACCAAGUUAAGUUUUUCUUUGGAACUCUCUAGCCUCAUGUUCUUGUUUUUGUCCACUUUUCCAAAUCACCAGCUUUCUUUGGAUGCACAGCAUCUUCUGG